RNAcentral lists this long non-coding RNA (502 nucleotides) under Nicotiana benthamiana. Its description in RNAcentral is "long non-coding RNA (NBEN_LNC012551)". Lineage: Eukaryota; Viridiplantae; Streptophyta; Magnoliopsida; Solanales; Solanaceae. The record is from RNAcentral.
CAAAGAGCACUUUUGCGAUCCUCAACUGGGAACACGUCUACUAAUCCAUAGGAAGUAUCGCACAGUGACUGCACAAAAUCAAGUGACUGGUGGUAUGCCCCUUUCCGAAAUUGUGAUACCCCAUUAUCUGGAAGUGGAGGUUUUGCAUUUAAACUCUCAUGCUGCUUUGGGGAGCCAGGACGUUUCUGCAGAAUGAACAUUACUCUCGAAUUAAUUACAAUUAAGUGGAGGUUUUGCAUUUAACCUCUCGUGCUGCUUUGGGGAGCCAGGACGUUUCUGCAGAAUGAACAUUACUCUCGAAUUAAUUACAAUUACCAUCAUACCAUAUAUAUCUUUUUUAUUUAUAAGGUACCAUCAUACUAUAUGUAUCAACUCCUCAAUUACGACUCUAAUUUCUGCAAGAUUGAAGCGGAAGCUGGUGUAAAGAGCCCAACAUGAAAUAUAUGCUAAUCCAUAAUCUCAGAAACACUACAUCACAUUUCCAUCAUGUCACUAUAACUCA